Notothenia coriiceps (black rockcod) is the source of this 223-nucleotide long non-coding RNA. RefSeq lists it as uncharacterized. The transcript is spliced from 2 exons. NCBI's taxonomy places the organism in Eukaryota, Metazoa, Chordata, Actinopteri, Perciformes, Nototheniidae. The record is from RefSeq and is a predicted model, not a curated record.
AAUCAUCAGAUGGAUAAAUGUCGAUGGCAGUGAUGAUGUGUGUCGAUGAUGUGUGUCGAUUGCGACGAUACAUGCGACAGCAACUUUCCCACCGGUCAAACAAACCUUGGAAGUCUGAUCCCUGAAGAUUUGGUGGCACGUGAAACUGUAACUCUGGGCCCUUUGAUGGUUUUCCAUAAAAGUAGGCGAAGCAUAACAAUCCAGACAAUAAAGGAUUAAAUAU